This 75-nucleotide transfer RNA is filed under the name Clostridiales bacterium. RNAcentral describes it as "tRNA-Asn". It matches the Rfam family "tRNA". From Rfam's summary of the family: Transfer RNA (tRNA) molecules are approximately 80 nucleotides in length. Their secondary structure includes four short double-helical elements and three loops (D, anti-codon, and T loops). Further hydrogen bonds mediate the characteristic L-shaped molecular structure. tRNAs have two regions of fundamental functional importance: the anti-codon, which is responsible for specific mRNA codon recognition, and the 3' end, to which the tRNAs corresponding amino acid is attached (by aminoacyl-tRNA synthetases). tRNAs cope with the degeneracy of the genetic code in two manners: having more than one tRNA (with a specific anti-codon) for a particular amino acid; and 'wobble' base-pairing, i.e. permitting non-standard base-pairing at the 3rd anti-codon position. Lineage: Bacteria; Bacillati; Bacillota; Clostridia; Eubacteriales. The record is from RNAcentral.
UCCGAGGUAGCUCAAUGGUAGAGCAAUCGGCUGUUAACCGAUAGGUUGUGGGUUCGAGUCCCACCCUCGGAGCCA